RNAcentral lists this ribosomal RNA (465 nucleotides) under uncultured Arsenophonus sp. Its description in RNAcentral is "bacterial SSU rRNA". It matches the Rfam family "Bacterial small subunit ribosomal RNA", at positions 338 to 795 of the family's 1533-position model. The record is from RNAcentral. Lineage: Bacteria; Pseudomonadati; Pseudomonadota; Gammaproteobacteria; Enterobacterales; Morganellaceae.
CCUCCGGGGGGCAGCAGUGGGGAAUAUUGCACAAUGGGCGCAAGCCUGAUGCAGCCAUGCCGCGUGUAUGAAGAAGGCCUUCGGGUUGUAAAGUACUUUCAGUCGUGAGGAAGGCGUUAAGGUUAAUAACCUUAGCAAUUGACGUUAGCGACAGAAGAAGCACCGGCUAACUCCGUGCCAGCAGCCGCGGUAAUACGGAGGGUGCGAGCGUUAAUCGGAAUUACUGGGCGUAAGGGGCACGCAGGCGGUUAAUUAAGUUGGAUGUGAAGUCCGCGGGCUUAACCUGGGAAUGGCAUUGAAGACUGGUUAGCUAGAGUGUUGUAGAGGGGGGUAGAAGUCCAUGUGUAGCGGUGAAGUGCGUAGGGGUGGGGAGGGAUACCGGUGGCGAAGGCGGCCCCCUGGACAAAGACUGACGCUCAUGUGAGAGAGCGUGAGGAGCGGACAGGAUUAGAUACCCGUGUAGUC